Molecule: small nuclear RNA, 107 nt
Organism: Erinaceus europaeus (western European hedgehog)
Lineage: Eukaryota; Metazoa; Chordata; Mammalia; Eulipotyphla; Erinaceidae
Source: Ensembl
GUGCUUACUUCAGCAGCACAUAAACUAAAAUAGGAAUGAGACAGAGAAGAUCAGCAUGGCCCCUGUUCAAGGAUGGCACUCAAAUUCGUGAAGCGUUCCAUAUUUAA